GCUCGCGCACCUCGUCCUCGUACAGCUGCACCGUCUCCCGCCACGACUCGGCCACCAGCAGUGCGUAGCUGUCGUGCACCUCCCGCAGGCGUGGCGGGGGCGCGGCGGGGCCGGUGGCGCGGCCGCGGAAGUGCAUGGCAGAACACCUUAGGGACCAUCAACCCCAGGUGGUGUCGUUUCCAGUGAAAACGGAACUCCGGGGUGUAGCCGGAUUGGAGAGAAGAGAGUGACAUGUGCGCCCCCUUCCUGCGGUGGAUAGAUGAACGGGUGAUUGUGAACAUCUGGUGAGAGAAUGGAUGUGAAGGUCUAGUAACAUUAGAACACUACAAAAAUCACACAUUUGAGUCAGCUCUGGGGAGUCUGGAGCCAUCCUUCUCAAAUGUUCUCCCCUUUGGGGGACACAUACCCAGCCCUUCUCCUGGAACAGGGACAAGACUCAAAUGGAAUUCCUGCCCUGCUGGGAAGCAGCUUCCUGGGGGCCAGCUGUGCCCCCCGGAGGCUGGGUGACGGUCAGCAGGGUGAGAACACGGAGGUGCCUCCGUAUUCUCACUUCACUCUUGGCCCUGAUGUCCUGAACUGGA
Molecule: non-coding RNA, 581 nt
Filed under: Pongo abelii (Sumatran orangutan)
Lineage: Eukaryota; Metazoa; Chordata; Mammalia; Primates; Hominidae
Source: RNAcentral